UUCUGUGUCUUUUGAGUUUACACUUUGAUUAGCUACGCAGUUCCUGUCAGGGGCAGUUCCAUUUAUAUUCAAUUCAUGGGUCGUCCGCCACCUUACCGCAGAGUCCUACGCUUUCAUUAAUGCAGCUGUACGCAAAGCAGUUUCAUCUUUUUGUCAGUUACGUUUUGUUUCUCAGUCGAGAGGAUUCCGCCGAGCUUGCCUGCGUGCCAACAUUUAGUAGGAUGGUGCCUGGAGGGAAGCAAAUGCUGCAAAACUGCUGAAAGUGGCAUGGUUAACUCUCCCGCUUGGCAUGUUAAUCACAGUUGAUGCAAGCUCUCUUGUCUUUUGGCGGCAACGGUUAAGCUAUUCAAAUCCAUAUGCAAAAGCUAUCAUCGUUAAUGGUGUUGUCUUAAGUCUUCCUAGUACCAUGUUCUUGCUGUAUGGGUUCAUCUUGUUGAUAGUGAAUGACUCAAAAUGAAAAAAAAAUUAAAGCUGAUUUUUUGGAAAUAUUCAUCUGCAGCUUAUCAGCUCCUGUUAUCUUCUUUGGAGAAUCGUGAUUUACCCCAUGCUGUUUCUGGAAGAAAUUACAAAUAGAAGUUUACAGUAUUUAGGGAACAAUUGAAGAGUAGUUAAAAAGUAAUAAAAAUCUAAGGAUGUAAUAGAAAUAUUGGUGUGAUUAGGAUGACAUAAGUAGAUUAUGAGAUAAAUUCAACACAGUCAGGUCUGUCAAAUGAAUAUCCGUCAGAGAAUCAGUGGAGCAAGAAAAUUAACUUAGCUACAUACUUGUUUCGAUGUAUGUGAAAUCACAAAUCAAUGGUUAACAUCAAGACUAAUGUUAGAUAACAUUCAUAUUUAAAUGCUCAUUGUCCUUAAGCGGGUUCCUGAUCUUUAUUCUCUCUCAUACUUCCCUUUUUUCCCGCUGAGGGUUUUCUCUUAUCCUCCCCUUUUUCCAUUCCCACCUAACCUAAUAACUUACUAUUCCAGUAAUCAUAUGCCUUAGCCUUUGUUACUUUUUCAGAUUCCAUUUCAAUCCAUAUGCAUGUUUGAAGUUAUUGGGAACCAAGAUAUAGACCAGCUGCCUGAGUUUUUUUUGAUAAGUCUGAAUAUAAAUUUUUGGUUAGUGAAGAUAACAAGGUGCAUCAGAGAAUCUAAGAAUCCAGGGGCAGCAUGCUUUUAAUAAAAUUACUUGAGCAUCUAGAUGUAGUCAAUAUGCUGACUUUAUUAUCUCAGUUGAACUUUUUCUUUGAUAUUCUUCUUUUUCUUUUUAGUUUAUUUGUGGAAUCAAUUGAUAUUGCAUGGCAGGUUGCACAUGCAUAUUGGAACUAUUUGCUGAACCCUUGCAUAUUUCUCAAAACUUGCUCCUUCGGAAACUUCGGUUAAUGGUUGAAAUUAUGGCAACACUUUCACGUUGUGUGACAAUGUGCAUUCUCAUUGUCAAGCAGGUUGACAUAGUAGAGGCUUUUUAAGGCUAUUUCUUGAAUUUGAAUGCAUGCAUGUCAUCACCCUGCUUAAUGAAGCUAACCAGACUAUUUUUCUUGACAACUUUUAAUGCUUCAUCUGUUGAUCAUUAUCUACUUUUAAGAUAUUUCUCUAAUGCUUUUCUGAUAUCAAUUUCCCCUUUGCUAAGUGCACCCGGCAAAGCUGUUCCAUUAGUUGCUGGCAUGCUGCUAAUUUCUUAAGUUCUAUCACUGUAUGUAUAACUAGUGUUACUUAACAUUAUAUGCAGAUGAUCUUGCACAUGUGGAUAAUUCUUGUGCUUGUUGUGAAUACUUUUUAUUAAUGAUGUAUCUUUUCAUCUGGAAAACUUUCUAAAAUGUAACUAAGGAAUUGGUGGAAGCUUCCUGUAAACUGUAAUUUUAAUUAAGCUUCUAUUUGUAGUCUUUGUGGAGUCAUCUUGUAUUUUAAAGACAUGUAGAAACGUUCUUGUUCUAAUUUUUCAGAAAUAGCACUUUUCUAAUUUUAUUGCUGCUCAUUAUCAGUAAUCUUCUUAAUUCUUACAGGAGAAGGAGAUUGUUUUUGCAUUGUCAUAAGUUGCAUAUGUUGCUUGCUUGUUCCUAGGUUACUGGGGUUAUUUUCUUCUUUCUCAUGCAUUUAGAAAUUAUGAGCUUUUCCCUUUCAGGUACAGAUCCUUUUUUGUAGGACUCAUUAUCUUUAGUGAUGAAAAUGUUUGGAUUGUGUACCUCUCCUGCCUCUCCAAGUAAUAGUAGCAUUAUGUUAUAUGUAUCAAAUAUCAUAUUAUUUGGAAUUUUGCAACCAUUUGAUUUGAGCCAUAAACUUACAUUUUGCUUUAUACCCUAUUAACCUUUUUUUUUUUAGCUGUAUGUCUCUUUUGAUGCAAAGUUUGGCAAGCAGAAUGAGCAUAUUAACAAUAGAAAGUCCAACAGCUGGUUAAGUGGACUGCAGCUAAUCUCACUUUAAAGGUCAAACUUCCCACACAUGAGGGAGCUUAGUUGUGAGAAGAAAGUUCAUAUGCUACGUUUGCCAGGUGUGCAGCGGGACAAAACAGAAUAGCAAAAAAAUUGGUAGUAGCGUUAUGGAGGCACUAAAGCUUGUUUUGAUAAUUGGUCUUAUAUUCAUAGCAUUUGGCCCAAGCUACUCAUACUCUCUCAUCAGAUUAUUGUAUGGACAGAACUGGAGUGAUGGAGAAGCAUUGAUAGCUCUUAAGUACUACUGCCUAUAUAUUAUUGUUUUGGCCAUGAAUGGAACUUCUGAAGCCUUUCUACAUGCAGUUGCCACAGAGGACCAAAUCAAACACUCAAAUGAUUCAUUGCUUGUAUUUUCCGUGAUAUACAUUACUACCAAUGUCCUACUAAUACUGUCAGCUGGAGCACGUCAAACUGCUUACUAAAGGAAUGAGAGAGCUGAUGUAUUGGAAAAGUUAUCGCGCCAAAAAUUUGAGCUGUGUGCAACUGGUAAGAACUAGAAGAAAGGUAAUGAAUAGCUCAUUGACAGCACUAAUUUAUGACCACACCACUUUCAUGCGAGCUGGCACUAGUGCGUCUGUGAUUUAAAGGUAAUCUUGAAUUCAGUAUCUUACUAGGAUUCUGUUUUAUGAUUAUAAGCAGUGAUUCAGAGUUUUUUUCUUUCUUUUUCUGGGUUAGCUAUCAUAUUUCUGUGGAAAUUUCUUUGGUGUUUUAUUAUAGAAAAGCUAAGAAAUAUAGGGGUGUCGUAUCUGGUAUCCACAACUUUUAGAGCAUAAAAUUCAAACACAAAAGCCGCUUUUUCUUCAUGCCAAUUGAAACUUAGUGCUCAUAAUCAAUAGUCGUGUAAGCAUUUAGCUAUGAUGAAGCAAGCACUUUGGGUUAUUGAAAGGUAUGUGGUUCCUCUUAGUACAUUUCCGAGAACAAUAAAACUACGUAUGUAUAUUUAUUUUGGAUACACAAAUGAAUACAUACUUAUAUGUCU
Mangifera indica (mango) is the source of this 3384-nucleotide RNA transcript. It is a transcript of the gene named protein RFT1 homolog, with no coding region annotated. The record is from RefSeq and is a predicted model, not a curated record. Lineage: Eukaryota; Viridiplantae; Streptophyta; Magnoliopsida; Sapindales; Anacardiaceae. The transcript has 8 exons.